GGGUGCGAUCAUACUAGUACUAAAACACCAGAUUCCAUCAGAACUUUGUAGUUAACCAUGCUUGGGCAAGAGUAAUACUAAGAUGGGUGACCUCUUGGGAAGUCCACGUGUUGCACGUC
Non-coding RNA from Gossypium raimondii (Peruvian cotton), 119 nucleotides. The record is from Rfam. Lineage: Eukaryota; Viridiplantae; Streptophyta; Magnoliopsida; Malvales; Malvaceae.